Molecule: unclassified non-coding RNA, 371 nt
Filed under: Hevea brasiliensis (rubber tree)
Lineage: Eukaryota; Viridiplantae; Streptophyta; Magnoliopsida; Malpighiales; Euphorbiaceae
Source: RNAcentral
GCAUUGCUCCAUAACCAAGAGUGGCUCUGCUAAUAAGCCCAAGAAGCAAAGAGCCCUGAAAAAGUGUGCUAGGAACCUGAACCAACUCUGCAGCAGCAGAAGGAUUGGAUGACAGUAACAGCCCAACUGCAAACAUGGAAGAAGACAAUGCAGCACCAGCAAAAGGACCCGCAAGAGAAAUGUCUACCUUUGCUUUGCGAUCAGGAAGAAUGGAUUUGAACUGAGUUAUUGCUCCAAAGCUUCCAAGAGUGAUGUUUGGAAUGAAGUAAGGAAUGCUUAGUUUCACAUUCCUAGGAAAUGCAGCCAGAAAAUGCCCAAUUUCAUGAAAUAAUUGGACACCCAACACACCAUAUGCCAGUGGUAAAGCAGAA